This 378-nucleotide ribosomal RNA is filed under the name uncultured archaeon. RNAcentral's name for it is "bacterial SSU rRNA". It matches the Rfam family "Archaeal small subunit ribosomal RNA", at positions 362 to 741 of the family's 1478-position model. The record is from RNAcentral.
AAAGCGCGAUGAGGGGAUCCCAAGUGCUUGCUCUUAGGAGUAAGCUUUUUUCUUGUUUAAAAAGCAGGAAGAGGAAGGGCUGGGUAAGACGGGUGCCAGCCGCCGCGGUAAUACCUGCAGCUCAAGUGGUGACCGCUAUUAUUGGGCCUAAAACGUCCGUAGCCGGUUGAGUAAAUGCUUGGGUAAAUCGUGCCGCUUAACGGUACGAAUUCCGGGUAGACUGCUUAGCUUGAGACCGGGAGAAGCUAGAGGUACUCCUGGGGUAGAGGUGAAAUUCUGUAAUCCUGGGGGGACCACCAGUGGCGAAGGCGUCUAGCUAGAACGGGUCUGACGGUGAGGGACGAAACCCUGGGGCGCGAACCGGAUUAGAUACCCGGG